This 427-nucleotide long non-coding RNA is filed under the name Panax ginseng (ginseng). RNAcentral's name for it is "long non-coding RNA (PGIN_LNC004636)". Lineage: Eukaryota; Viridiplantae; Streptophyta; Magnoliopsida; Apiales; Araliaceae. The record is from RNAcentral.
GUUAACGCCAAGAUCUUUCUCCACGUUCCAAUCACGUAAGACGUCCUGAUCCUGCACAGUAAACACAGUCAACACCGAAAGCUUGACGGCGGUUCCGUCGGGGGAUAGCUCAGGCGUGAGAAUUAGUACGUGUUCACAAGGUUAACAAUGGAGGAAUAUAUGGUCUAGUGUAUCGAUAGAGAUAAUAAUUCUCAGUUGUGUGUAUGGGAGAAUAUGAAUAAUCAAUAUAUGAGAGAACGUACCUCUAUACGAUGGCUUCCUUGCUAAGUUAUAUUACCUUUGCUUGGAUUACUGUGCCACCCACUACUACCUGACACCCCCUCUGAUCUGAUGGGCUCUGCCGACUAUAUCAGGUUUAUCUACUGCUUUUGGCCACUGUUUUCUACCGCCGGCCGGUUAUGAUCCCAUCCACAUUAAUGCAUGGCAG